CGAACGGUAACAGGAAGAAGCUUGCUUCUUUGGCUGACGAGUGGCGGACGGGUGAGUAAUGUCUGGGAAACUGCCUGAUGGAGGGGGAUAACUACUGGAAACGGUAGCUAAUACCGCAUAACGUCGCAAGACCAAAAAGGGGGACCUUCGGGCCUCUUGCCAUCGGAUGUGCCCAGAUGGGAUUAGCUAGUAGGUGGGGUAACGGCUCACCUAGGCGACGAUCCCUAGCUGGUCUGAGAGGAUGACCAGCCACACUGGAACUGAGACACGGUCCAGACUCCUACGGGAGGCAACAGUGGGGAAUAUUGCACAAUGGGCGCAAGCCUGACGCAGCCAUGCCGCGUGUAUGAAGAAGGCCUUCGGGUUGUAAAGUACUUUCAGCGGGGAGGAAGGGAGUAAAGUUAAUACCUUUGCUCAUUGACGUUACCCGCAGAAGAAGCACCGGCUAACUCCGUGCCAGCAGCCGCGGUAAUACGGAGGGUGCAAGCGUUAAUCGGAAUUACUGGGCGUAAAGCGCACGCAGGCGGUUUGUUAAGUCAGAUGUGAAAUCCCCGGGCUCAACCUGGGAACUGCAUCUGAUACUGGCAAGCUUGAGUCUCGUAGAGGGGGGUAGAAUUCCAGGUGUAGCGGUGAAAUGCGUAGAGAUCUGGAGGAUACCGGUGGCGAAGGCGGCCCCCUGGACGAAGACUGAC
Molecule: ribosomal RNA, 692 nt
Filed under: uncultured Pseudomonadota bacterium
Lineage: Bacteria; Pseudomonadati; Pseudomonadota
Description: bacterial SSU rRNA
Rfam family: Bacterial small subunit ribosomal RNA
Source: RNAcentral